GUUGAGUUGGCAGAAUAUAUACUAGAAUUGGAACAAUACAAGGAUCAUCUGGCCCUUGGGCAAGGAUGGCAUGCAAACUGAAGAAGUGGUUCAUAUUUUU
This 100-nucleotide small nuclear RNA is filed under the name Chinchilla lanigera (long-tailed chinchilla). The record is from RNAcentral. Lineage: Eukaryota; Metazoa; Chordata; Mammalia; Rodentia; Chinchillidae.